Molecule: long non-coding RNA, 1044 nt
Filed under: Anas platyrhynchos platyrhynchos (common mallard)
Lineage: Eukaryota; Metazoa; Chordata; Aves; Anseriformes; Anatidae
Description: lncRNA (ENSAPLG00000024269.1)
Source: RNAcentral
GCGCCCCGCCCGCCGCCGGGCCCCGGGGCAGGGCGGCGGCCGCGGGGCUGGGGAGCGGCCGCGGGCAGCAGGCGGGGAGCCCCGGGGGGGGCAGCGGGCGAGUCGGGGUCUGGCCCCUGCGGCUGCCCCCUUACCCCGCCGCCCCCUCCCCACUCACCGCCGCGGCGCCCUUAGGCCCCGGCUGCGACAUGUCGGCGCUCGGCGAAGCCCGGCCCGCCUCUUCCUCCCCCUUUGGGCGGUGGCGGCGGGGGGCUCCGGCCGCCCCGGGGCGGGACGGGGAGGUGUGGACAGGCUCCGGGGGUGGUUUUUGGGGAGGGAGCGCUGAGAGCCCUCCUGGGCGCCGUUAACGCCCGCCCCGGGGGCUUGAGUCACCGACACUCGAGGCUCGGAGCCCCUCUCCCCCCGGCCACCAGCCUGACAGGAAUAAUCUCAGACUGCCCAGAAACACGGUGCCCAAAUCCGUCAGGGAUUGCUCAUGGUCACGCAAAGCUGCUGGAAGCCACUCUCUGGUGCACAAACCAAAGAGUGCAGUCAUUUCUGGGAGUCAGCAGAGGUUCCAGGCAACUAAGAUUUGGACUGUACUCCUGAAGACAGGAAUGAGAGAAGACAAUGCCACCCCUCAGGGAAACAUCUACCCUGGGUUAAUUAUUGCACUGGCAUCGAUGCUGUGAAGUCAGCAGGUCUAGAGGAAGAGAAGUGUGGGGAAGCACAGAAUGAGAGACAGAGGUGCAUCAAUUCCCAGCAACUCUGGCCCCAGGGGAACAGGCAUCCAGGGCAGGAGAGGGCCAGUUGUGGCAAAGCUGUCUUCAUCCUGGGCAGUGCUCCCUGUGUAUUGCUGAGGAUCUCUGUGAUUUCAGCCCAAAGACCUUCCUACAGGUUUCACUUGUAGAUUGGCAUCCGACUGGACAGCGUGCCUUGCAGCCUGCAGAAACUGUGUGCUUGUGUGAGAAAUGCGAGUUUUGUGUUGUUUCCCAUUCUCCCUUCCAAUGCAGCAAUGUGUCCAUCACCUGACCUUUCUGUACUCAGCAUUAAUUUCCAUUAAAA